UCUCCAGACUCCUACGGGAGGCAGCAGUGAGGAAUAUUGGUCAAUGGUCGGGAGACUGAACCAGCCAAGCCGCGUGAGGGAUGAAGGUACAGAGUCUCGUAAACCUCUUUUGUCAGGGAACAAAGGCGGGGACUAGUCCCCGGAUGAGGGUACCUGAAGAAAAAGCAUCGGCUAACUCCGUGCCAGCAGCCGCGGUAAUACGGAGGAUGCGAGCGUUAUCCGGAUUUAUUGGGUUUAAAGGGGGCGCAGGCGGCGUGUUAAGUCGGGGGAAAAGCCCGGGGCCGAACCCCGGGCGAGCCGUUGAAACUGGCUGUCUUGAGAUGUCGAGAGGUAUGCGGAAUGCGCAGUGUAGCGGUGAAAUGCUUAGAUAUUGCGCAGAACUCCGAUUGCGAAGGCAGCAUACCGGCGGCGAUCUGACGCUGAGGCACGAAAGCGUGGGUAUCGAACAGGAUUAGAUACCCCGGUAUC
This 468-nucleotide ribosomal RNA is filed under the name uncultured bacterium. RNAcentral's name for it is "bacterial SSU rRNA". It matches the Rfam family "Bacterial small subunit ribosomal RNA", at positions 328 to 795 of the family's 1533-position model. The record is from RNAcentral.